Molecule: long non-coding RNA, 529 nt
Organism: Lolium rigidum
Lineage: Eukaryota; Viridiplantae; Streptophyta; Magnoliopsida; Poales; Poaceae
Exons: 2
Source: RefSeq, a predicted model, not a curated record
UUAUGCUAUUGCUUACCUUUUCAGUAUCUGGUUCUUGUUACCUGUAUGGAUUGAUGGAUCAUGAAUGGAGUGAGGUGGUGAUCCAUGAAGAAGCUGAGGUCGUUGAACAACCAACCAAGGGCACAUAGGUCAAAGCCAUACAGAUCUUGCAUGCGUUGAUCAGUUGUUGCUUGGACCAAAGAUGAAGGAGCUGGACAGCCGACAGAAUCCACACAGGCCGGAGUUGAAGUGUUUUGAAUUCAUGUUGAUAUAUUUUUCGUAGAUGUGUUGAAGUGAGAAGAUGUAGCAAAAUCUGGAAUGUGUUGUUGAAGAGACCGACUAACCGAACGAAUGGAGAUAUUGUUAGCAGCUUGCAGGGAUUAGAAACAAGUCUUGUAUAUUUAUAUCCAGUACUUGAAUCUUGAUGAACAUGGCCGUCUCUUUUAUUAUAUUUGGAAACUUAGUUAUGUGGCUGUGACUGGUGAGAGAAGUUUAUUUUUUGCGAUUUCUAAUCAUUGGCACAUAUAAUAGCUGAUAUUUUGACCUGACG